Molecule: ribosomal RNA, 404 nt
Filed under: uncultured fungus
Lineage: Eukaryota; Fungi
Description: eukaryotic LSU rRNA
Rfam family: Eukaryotic large subunit ribosomal RNA (bases 233-404)
Source: RNAcentral
GAGGAGCAUGCCUGUUUGAGUGUCAUGGAAUUCUCAACUCUAUUUGCUUUUGUGAAUAGAGCUUGGACUUGGAGGUAUUGCCGGACUUCAUUGUUUCGGCUCCUCUUGAAUGCAUUAGCUCGAACCUUUGUGGAUCAGCUUCGGUGUGAUAAUUGUCUACGCCGUUCUGUGAAGCAUACAUUAUGGGUUUCGGCUUCCAAUCGUCCUUCACUGGACAAUACACUAUGACCUUUGACCUCAAAUCAGGUAGGGUUACCCGCUGAACUUAAGCAUAUCAAUAAGCGGAGGAAAAGAAACUAACAAGGAUUCCCCUGGUAACUGCGAGUGAAGCGGGAAAAGCUCAAAUUUAAAAUCUGGCGGUCUUUGGCCGUCCGAGUUGUAGUCUGGAGAAGCGUUUUCCGUGC